Molecule: long non-coding RNA, 1516 nt
Organism: Brachypodium distachyon (stiff brome)
Lineage: Eukaryota; Viridiplantae; Streptophyta; Magnoliopsida; Poales; Poaceae
Exons: 3
Source: RefSeq, a predicted model, not a curated record
GCCUGGGCCGUCGUUGGGCAGCAUUCGGUGGGGUUAUCCCGACCUUUCUUCCUUCUCGCGUUCUCUUACGACAGCUCCCGACCGCCUUCCUCUCUCGCGAUUUCUCCUGCUCCUCGGACUGCAGCCCCUCUCUGCCUCUUCCUCCGUCCCUGCGCUUAUCUUCCUCUUCCGAUUGCUCUGCUCGUAUGCAGGUCCUGUGCCUGUUCGCGUUGUCUGGGGAGUAGCGUCCUUCUUCUCCAGGUCGCCCCUGCUGCCUCCCCAGUUACGCCGUAGCGUCCUCGCCUCCUUCACAAUCUGGUCUCACUGGAGGCCGCGAAGACGCCGGCGGGGGCGGGAUCCCUAUUCAGCCUCCCGGACCGCCGUCCUGAACCCGUGAAUCCCGAGAGAAAUGGCGGCCCUCCCUAACCUAGCGGCGGCUCCCAGACUGCCGUCCAUCUCCUCCCUCCUCUUCCUCCACGCGCUCAGGUCACCACAGUAGCUGGGCGCCGGCCGCGAUUCGAGACGCUGGGCGUCUGCUUCCAAUUUCUCCCGCGAGAUCGAGUUCUGGAUCCGCUGCUGCUCGGCUUCUUCGGCUACCUCCCAAGCAUCAUCUACGCCGUCUGGGGGACUGGGUCAUCACCAAGUAGAACCAUUACGGCUCCUCUUCCUGUAUAUGCAUGUUUCAGGAAUUUGGGAAAUUUAACCAGCUAAGCUGAUCCAUGUCUCUUGCUUUAGAAUGAUUAUACAGAGCUGCAUAUAAAAGGUAAUAUUAUUUUACCAUUACAUAGGCUUAUGGACUAGAGGUUUUCCAUCAUGCACUGGGAAACAUUUCAAUCCCACCAAAUACGACGGUAACGAGGCCUCCUCGCUGGAACAAUGCACCUUUGGCAUAAUCAUGGCUGCCUUCCUGUGGAUGCGCCUCUUUUUCAAUCCUUGCAUCCAUAAUAUUAUUUGUGCCUAAUUAGUUCUUAUUUGUCUCAACUAGGUUUUGUGAGGCCUGGAGAUGCACACUCCACAUCAGAUUCAAAGUUGAGCACUGCUUAUUUCCUAGAGACUGGAACAUCUCUUCUGAUAACAAGGUACUAGGAAAUUAGUACUUUCUAUUGCAGCUAUUGUCAACGAUUUUCAUUUUUACUUCUGGAAUGAUAAAUGAUGUGCAUAAGCUUCAAAACUUUCGAUGGAGAGGGAGGGAGGGAGCACAAGAAGCUUUGUGAUUUGUUCUAUAGAUGUUUCGAAGGAGAAGAUUGUGCCCCUCAAGGUUGACCAUAUAUGCAGUUUGGGAUCAUUUCUUGUGGCUAUGUGAUUACAUGUAGAUUUAUGGUGGAAUAUCUAGAUCAAGUAAAUUGUGAUGUUCAAACGAACGGGCCAACACUACAGAGCUUAGUGCUAGGACUGAUUUGUGUUCAAGUAUUGUCGUACCUCUUGGUUUGUGUUCUUGAAGUACAUAGCAGCAAGAAUAAUUCGGUUGGAUGUGUAAGAACUCAAAGUUUAUGUACAAAUAAAUGUAGUCGAGUAACAGUGACAGUGAGUUCGUACA